UUGGGGGGCAAGUCUGGUGCCAGCAGCCGCGGUAAUUCCAGCUCCAAUAGCGUAUAUUAAAGUUGUUGCAGUUAAAAGGCUCGUAGUUGAAUUUCGGGGUCAGUAGGUUGGUCAUGCCACUGGUAUGUACUGGUCUCACUGAUUCCUCCUUCCUGAUGAACUGUAAUGCCAUUAAUUUGGUGUUGCAGGGAAUCUGGACUGUUACUUUGAAAAAAUUAGAGUGUUUAAAGCAGGCUAACGCCUGAAUACAUUAGCAUGGAAUAAUGAAAUAGGACGUUCGAUCCUAUUUUGUUGGUUUCUAGGAUUGACGUAAUGAUUAAUAGGGAUAGUUGGGGGCAUUAGUACUCAAUUGUCGGAGGUGAAAUUCUUGGAUUUAUUGAAGACUAACUACUGCGAAAGCAUUUGCCAAGGAUGUUUUCAUUAAUCAAGAACGAAAGUUAGGGGAUCGAAGACGAUCAGAUACCGUCGUAGUCUUAACCAUAAACUAUGCCGACUAGGGAUCGGAUGAUGUUAAUUUUUUAAUGACUCAUUCGGCGCCUUACGGGAAAC
Molecule: ribosomal RNA, 549 nt
Filed under: uncultured Rhizophagus
Lineage: Eukaryota; Fungi; Glomeromycota; Glomeromycetes; Glomerales; Glomeraceae
Description: SSU rRNA
Rfam family: Eukaryotic small subunit ribosomal RNA
Source: RNAcentral